This 441-nucleotide ribosomal RNA is filed under the name uncultured Caldilinea sp. Its description in RNAcentral is "bacterial SSU rRNA". It matches the Rfam family "Bacterial small subunit ribosomal RNA", at positions 338 to 795 of the family's 1533-position model. The record is from RNAcentral. Lineage: Bacteria; Bacillati; Chloroflexota; Caldilineae; Caldilineales; Caldilineaceae.
CCUACGGGGGGCAGCAGUGAGGAAUAUUGGGCAAUGGGCGGAAGCCUGACCCAGCAACGCCGCGUGGAGGAAGACGGCCUUCGGGUUGUAAACUCCUUUUACGGGGGAAGAGGAAGGACGGUACCCCGAGAAUAAGUCACGGCUAACUACGUGCCAGCAGCCGCGGUAAUACGUAGGUGACAAGCGUUAUCCGGAAUUACUGGGCGUAAAGCGCACGCAGGCGGCGCAUUAAGUCUGACGUGAAAUCUCCCGGCUUAACUGGGAGGGGUCGUUGGAGACUGAUGUGCUUGAGGCGGUGAGAGGGGUGUAGAAUUCCCGGUGUAGUGGUGGAAUGCGUAGAUAUCGGGAGGAAUACCAGUGGCGAAAGCGGCACCCUGGCACUAGCCUGACGCUCAUGUGCGAAGGCGUGGGGAGCGAACGGGAUUAGAUACCCGGGUAGUC